GACGAACGCUGGCGGCGUGCCUAAUACAUGCAAGUUGAGCGCUGAAGGUUGGUACUUGUACCAACUGGAUGAGCAGCGAACGGGUGAGUAACGCGUGGGGAAUCUGCCUUUGAGCGGGGACAACAUUUGGAAACGAAUGCUAAUACCGCAUAAAAACUUUAAACACAAGUUUUAAGUUUGAAAGAUGCAAUUGCAUCACUCAAAGAUGAUCCCGCGUUGUAUUAGCUAGUUGGUGAGGUAAAGGCUCACCAAGGCGAUGAUACAUAGCCGACCUGAGAGGGUGAUCGGCCACAUUGGGACUGAGACACGGCCCAAACUCCUACGGGAGGCAGCAGUAGGGAAUCUUCGGCAAUGGACGAAAGUCUGACCGAGCAACGCCGCGUGAGUGAAGAAGGUUUUCGGAUCGUAAAACUCUGUUGGUAGAGAAGAACGUUGGUGAGAGUGGAAAGCUCAUCAAGUGACGGUAACUACCCAGAAAGGGACGGCUAGCUACGUG
RNAcentral lists this ribosomal RNA (496 nucleotides) under uncultured bacterium. RNAcentral's name for it is "partial 16S ribosomal RNA". It matches the Rfam family "Bacterial small subunit ribosomal RNA", at positions 28 to 507 of the family's 1533-position model. The record is from RNAcentral.